UACGUAGGGGGCUAGCGUUGUCCGGAAUCAUUGGGCGUAAAGAGCGUGUAGGCGGUCCGGUAAGUCCGCUGUGAAAGUCGGGGGCUCAACCCUCGAAUGCCGGUGGAUACUGUCGGGCUAGAGUACGGAAGAGGCGAGUGGAAUUCCUGGUGUAGCGGUGAAAUGCGCAGAUAUCAGGAAGAACACCCGUGGCUAAGGCGGUUCUCUAGUACGGUACUGACGCUGAGACGCGAAAGCGUGGGGAGCGAACAGG
RNAcentral lists this ribosomal RNA (253 nucleotides) under uncultured bacterium. RNAcentral describes it as "partial 16S ribosomal RNA". It matches the Rfam family "Bacterial small subunit ribosomal RNA", at positions 524 to 776 of the family's 1533-position model. The record is from RNAcentral.